CACGUAGGGCGCAAGCGUUGUCCGGAAUUAUUGGGCGUAAAAAGCUCGUAGGCGGUCUGUCGUGUCUGGUGUGAAAAAUCCAGGGCUUAACCCUGGACCUGCAUCGGGUACGGGCAGACUAGAGUGCGGUAGGGGAGAUCGGAAUUCCUGGUGUAGCGGUGAAAUGCGCAGAUAUCAGGAGGAACACCGGUGGCGAAGGCGGAUCUCUGGGACGGUACUGACGCUGAGACGCGAAAGCGUGGGGAGCGAACAGG
RNAcentral lists this ribosomal RNA (254 nucleotides) under uncultured bacterium. RNAcentral describes it as "partial 16S ribosomal RNA". It matches the Rfam family "Bacterial small subunit ribosomal RNA", at positions 524 to 776 of the family's 1533-position model. The record is from RNAcentral.